This 101-nucleotide ribosomal RNA is filed under the name uncultured bacterium. Its description in RNAcentral is "partial 16S ribosomal RNA". It matches the Rfam family "Bacterial small subunit ribosomal RNA", at positions 1384 to 1482 of the family's 1533-position model. The record is from RNAcentral.
UACACACCGCCCGUCACACCAUGGGAGUUGGUUUCACCCGAAGGUGGUGCGCUAACCCACAAGGGAGGCAGCCAACCACGGUGGGAUCAGCGACUGGGGUG